CUAACUGAGCCACCCAGGCGCCCCUAGAAUUUUCUCGUGAAUGGUCCUAAUAACGCAGGGUUGUUGAGCCCAAAGGUCAAGAAAGGAUUCUUGAAAUGUUUUAUGGUGCAAAAAAGUGUUUUUAUUGUAGCUGGACCCUUGGGCAGAAAAGGGAAAUCUCUAAAAGGAUUUCUGUAUGUCCGGGAAGAUUACAGCAUCUUGGAGGUCUGGCUAUUGUCAAGCUAAGGUUGUUUUUUAGUUUCUGGCAAAGCAUUAACAUUAAGGCAGCUGUGAGUUCUUUGAGGAACGUCACACUACACGUCUCCGGUAUUUAUCCACAGGCUGCGUGUUGUAAGGAAAUUUAAUUUUAUCUACAUUUCUCUUGCCUCUGUUCUCCUUAUCACUAGUAAUUAGCUAGCGAAGUCCCUGUCUCCUAGGAGGACACUUGAAAUCCACAAGGCUUUCCCCACAGAAUAUUAAAAUCCUGAGGUACAUACAUCACUGUACAUAUGAAUGGGGAAAGAGAGUCCUUUUCUCAUUGUUCUUAAACAUUAAAGCAAAUUGCAAGAACUUUGAGCUGGAAGGAUAUACCCAGAAGCCGUGUAUUUAGAAUAGGAGAAGCCAGACAGGAGAGACAGUGUUGGUCAUCAGGAUGACUUUUAAUUAGGGGAACUAACUGGACAGAAGAUGGCCUUUCAGGCCUUAAAAAAUCAUUAUGCAUCCACCAAAGGAAGGAAACAAGGUCUAUAUGUGGCAUAGGUUAAAACAACAACAACCACAACAACAACAAAACACACUCUCUCUUCCUCUAACCCGGUACCUCUCACUGGCUAUCUAACAGAUCACCCCAAAUCUGAUCAGGCAUUUCCUGCUUACACAGCUCUUGAUGGCUAUCCUGGCCCCAUGGUGAGCUCCCCAUUCAGAAGUAUGCUUUUGGGGGGCCUUUCUCAGCAAGGAAGGAAUCUUUCUCUUGACUCGAGGUGAAAGUUACGUCUCCUCUCUUUGAAUCUCCAUUAUCACUAGACGACUCCAACUUCCCACAGGGCCUCAUUCACUUUCCCCCUUCUAUUGACUGACUUGUAGAUUUUUUUAUACUGUAACAACAACGCCCCAGAGGCCCAAGCUGCAGUCACUCACGCCAGCCCACGUCACCAAACGGAAUCUCCGCACCUAACCUAAUUGCCGUUUCAACGUCUUCCAGAAAUGGAGUCUGAGUCAGGAAUUCUCUGCUUAGCCCCCAUCUGCAAUCUGUCACGCGGGUUCUCUCCAUCCCCACCCCCACCCCAGGAAGGAGGAUCCAGGAGGGCCCUGGUAUUCCUGCUCUGUGUGUGUGAAGUUUUGAGUCCAGUGUUCCUCCGUGGGUCCCUGAAGACAGCUCUGGCUGGGUUUCAACAGGCUGUGCUGGUGUGAGUUCUCUGCUACGUUGAUGGGAUUUCUAGAGCAGGAUGGGGUGAACCCAGUUUUUAAAAUAAAUUAGCUGAUGCUGUCAGUGUUGUGCUUCAUUAUCUACUUUGAUAGGAACAUGAAAUAAGGAAAGUUCUGGAGAAAGAUCCCCCCACAUUUCCUCAUUCUCUCUGAGCAAGCUGUCCCCAGGUUCCUUGGACUGGACUAGCCUCAACCUUGGCCCACAGAGACUUGAAUAAGCACCAGCUUGGUUGUAGCAACUCAAAGCUACAUCUCUAGGAUGACCCUUGCUCGCUUUAAAGUGCCUGCCUGAGGAAACUCAAGGCUGCCAAAAGAAUUUGCUGUUUGUUCCAGCCAACACCCAAAGACAAGGCCCCUGGCACGCCGCCAUAUUUGUGGGCCCACGGGAGCCGAAUCUGAUACGCUCCUGGUAGUGAACUCAGUCGGUUUCCUAAGGAUAAAGCCCCUUUCCCACUCUGUUGUGAUUUUUCACUUCCCUGACCAGCACUCUAGCUUCUCCCCUUAAAAUGCCCACUCACGUCUGUUCCAAUUGAAGUUAUAGUCAGUUAUGCUGGACUCUUUCCUUAUUGCAAUAGUCGUUACUGAUUAAAAUCUGUCCUUAGCAGUAUCCUUCAGUGUCUGAUUUUGUCCAACAUCUUUAACAACGUAAGUUCAGCUAAGGCCAUCCGAAGAAUCCCUUGGUUGCUUGAGUAAAGAAUGGAAGGGAGCCAACGGGUAGAAACCUCCAGUUUGAAGGAAGGAAUGAAGGACUAACACAUACAACAGUAGGAGAGGGACCCCGAAAACCUUCUGCUAAAUGAAGAAACCCAAACACAGAGGCCACACGUUGUAUGAUUCCACUGUACAGGAGUUCAAAACAAACAAACCACCACCAACAGCCAUAAAAACAAAAUGUCCGGAAUAGCCAAAUGCAUGAGGACAGGAAGCAGACUA
Long non-coding RNA from Mustela erminea (ermine), 2337 nucleotides. RefSeq lists it as uncharacterized. The transcript has 3 exons. The record is from RefSeq and is a predicted model, not a curated record. NCBI's taxonomy places the organism in Eukaryota, Metazoa, Chordata, Mammalia, Carnivora, Mustelidae.